Molecule: non-coding RNA, 471 nt
Organism: Pelobates cultripes (western spadefoot toad)
Lineage: Eukaryota; Metazoa; Chordata; Amphibia; Anura; Pelobatidae
Source: the annotation of a GenBank genome assembly
GUCAGGGACCAGUUAACAAUGACAUGGGUGGAGGGUCUGUCAUAUAGCGCCUCGAUCCAAUCCCUGAUGUGCUGCCCCACAAGUAUUCCCAGCAAACCCUGCCGAAGGCCUUCUCCGCAACCAUGAAUAGCAGGAGAAGGCCUCCACUCUCCCACUGCUGUCCGUGCAUGAGGGUCAGUGCCCUGAUUGUCUUGUCAUUUGACUCAUGUCCUGUCACAAAACCCACCUGAUCUGUGUGCGCCAGUGUAGGGAUGUGGGUUUGAAAGCGUGUGGCUAAGAUUUUUCGCCUUCACUUUGACAUUGCAAUUAAUGAGCAAGAUGGGCCUGUAGUUCCUGCAGUGUUCCUCGUCCUUGCCCCCUUUUGGUAUGAUUGUGAUGUGUGCUGUCAGCGAUUGUUUGGGCAGACGGUGUCCUUCCCGUAUUGCGUUAUGAGUCCAACAGUGGGGAGUAGAGGUUGUCGGCAAAUGUUUU